CAGUGGUUCCUUAACAUUUGUCAGCAUCCUUUACAUCCCUGAAAACCCUUUCAUCAGUGGGGAGGAAUUUAUCUGCAAAGCCAAAUUCAAUUCAUCGGGCAUGUCCAUGAAUCUGAGCACCACAUUGUACGCAGAAACAAGGACUUGCCAUACAAAUGACUGUCAACAUUAUACAAUACCUUUGUCUGUCAUAGGAGCACUGGCAUUUCUGCUAAUUGUGAUCUGGCUUUGGAUUCGAUGCUGUCCUUCUAGGCUUGGAGGACAUUUGCUACUCUCAUCUGGUGUUUCAUUCAAACAAUGAAUAGUGGGGGAAGACAAGACAAACAUCUUAAGAAACAGAUGUGAAGAUCUGAGCAAUCAGGGAAAACUGAUAUGCAGAAGCUAGGAUGAAAAUUAUAACUCACCUUUAGAAGCUGGGAUUAGAAACUCAGAUCUGGGGUUUUGACAGAACGUGAUUCUAAGACUUGAUUUUUCCCUUUUACAAUGUAAAUAAGUAUCUAUUUUACCCAACUACCAAUAAGGAAAAUGAGUAUUAAUAUAUUUUUGUAAUAAGGGAACUUUUCCACAUGAACCACUGGUUUUCUCACCUUUUUUGGCAAAUGGGGA
This 606-nucleotide long non-coding RNA is filed under the name Naja naja (Indian cobra). RNAcentral's name for it is "lncRNA (ENSNNAG00000015505.1)". Lineage: Eukaryota; Metazoa; Chordata; Lepidosauria; Squamata; Elapidae. The record is from RNAcentral.